CGCCAGCAACAUUCUUUUUUCAUUUAAAGUAUGUUCUUUCUUUGACACAGUGCUGCUGCCCAUUGAGUAGACUGGAGUCCAGUGAGACUCACUCCCUGUGGCAUCUGGAAGCCAGCAGGCGGCUUCUCUGAGGUCUGGACACACGUAUAUAUCUGUGUGACAACGGAGAGAGCUUUUCUGUCGGCAGGAAGAUGACUAAAUACCAGUUUCUGAUUAAACUCACUACAGGUGGUCCUUCAGAAAAGGAGUAAUUGAACUUCGUUAACUCAGUGUUCCUGCUGUGCUUCUUUUUCAUGCCACCAGUUUGCAGGGAUUAACCGAUGCUCUGGGGAGCACACUGCGAAGCUGGCCCAGCUGCACAAUUUGAAGCUGCAAAAUGAAGACAUGGACCCCCAUGUUCAAAACUUAGAAGAAUUUUCCAGUGUGACAGCAGUGGCCCUUAAGGCCCCCUGGAGGAGGCCAGGCGGCCAGGAGCAGCUCCGCAAGGUGGGGCCGCAGUCCGAUGCCCUUGUGCUGGCUCCUCUGAGACGUGCCGCAGGGAGAGGAUGGCGCAGGCCGAGGUCAGCGUGUCCCCGAGACCGUCGCCCGCCACAGGACCUGCAGGGGACGUGCUCGGCUCCCUCAGAGCCUCGGAAAGGCGGGCCUUCAGCGCAGCCGGCCUGGUCCUUGUUAUGCUUUUGCUUGUAACGGCCUUCUUGAGAUACGAUCAACAUGUAGGGAACUGCAUGUUUGACCACUUCUGAGCCACGCGUGGGAACAUGAACCCGGAACCAUCAGGGAGGUGGUGAGCGCGUGAUCGGUGCAUGUCUGCAUUUUGGAGGAACCGCUGCGUCUUUUCCCAAGUGGCCGUGCUGUCCUCCAUCGUCCCCGGGAUGUGCCCUGUGGCUGGUCCGCUUGGCUGUGGGGCUGCGGCGCUGCCUCCCGGGGGCCCGCUUGCACUUCUCAGUGACUUAGGCCUUCCGUUGUGUACUUGCCAUCCUUGUAUCCUCUUCUGCGAAAUGUCUGCUUAAAUAUUGUACUCAUGAAAAGUAA
Phacochoerus africanus (Common warthog) is the source of this 1032-nucleotide long non-coding RNA. RefSeq lists it as uncharacterized. The record is from RefSeq and is a predicted model, not a curated record. The transcript has 3 exons. Lineage: Eukaryota; Metazoa; Chordata; Mammalia; Artiodactyla; Suidae.